UGAAAAGAACAAGGAGCCUUGUUGAUGUGU
RNAcentral lists this non-coding RNA (30 nucleotides) under Mus musculus (house mouse). Lineage: Eukaryota; Metazoa; Chordata; Mammalia; Rodentia; Muridae. The record is from RNAcentral.